GAUGAACGCUGGCGGCGCGCCUAACACAUGCAAGUCGAACGGUUAAAGCCCCUUCGGGGGUGCAUAAAGUGGCGAACGGCUGAGUAACACGUGGGCAACCUGCCCCUCGCACCGGGACAGCCUCGGGAAACCGUGGUUAAUACCGGAUACUCCCGCACCCCCGCAUGGGGGCGCGGGGAAAGCCCAGACGGCGAGGGAUGGGCCCGCGGCCUGUUAGCUCGUUGGCAGGGUAACGGCCCACCAAGGCGAUGAUGGGUAGCCGGGUUGAGAGACCGACCGGCCAGAUUGGGACUGAGACACGGCCCAGACUCCUACGGGAGGCAGCAGUGGGGAAUCUUGCGCAAUGGGCGGAAGCCUGACGCAGCGACGCCGCGUGCGGGAAGGAGGCCUUCGGGUCGUAAACCGCUUUCAGCAGGGACGAGGCCGCGAGGUGACGGUACCUG
This 443-nucleotide ribosomal RNA is filed under the name Olsenella uli. RNAcentral describes it as "bacterial SSU rRNA". It matches the Rfam family "Bacterial small subunit ribosomal RNA", at positions 28 to 481 of the family's 1533-position model. The record is from RNAcentral. Lineage: Bacteria; Bacillati; Actinomycetota; Coriobacteriia; Coriobacteriales; Atopobiaceae.